GACGAACGCUGGCGGCGUGCUUAACACAUGCAAGUCGAACGGUGAAGCGCCUUCCUUUUUGGUGGGUGUGGAUGAGUGGCGAACGGGUGAGUAACACGUGAGUAACCUGCCCCCUUCUUCUGGAUAACCGCAUGAAAGUGUGGCUAAUACGGGAUAUUCUGGGUCUGUCGCAUGAUGGGUCUGGGAAAGAUAUUGUUUCGGUGGGGGAUGGGCUCGCGGCCUAUCAGCUUGUUGGUGGGGUGAUGGCCUACCAAGGCGGUGACGGGUAGCCGGCCUGAGAGGGUGGACGGUCCCACUGGGACGGAGACACGGCCCAGACUCCUACGGGAGGCAGCAGUGGGGAAUAUUGCACAAUGGGCGCAAGCCUGAUGCAGCGACGCCGCGUGAGGGAUGGAGGCCUUCGGGUUGUGAACCUCUUUCGCCAGUGAAGCAGGCCUGCCUCGUUUGUGGGUGGGUUGACGGUAGCUGGAGAAGAAGCGCCGGCUAACUACGUG
Molecule: ribosomal RNA, 494 nt
Filed under: uncultured bacterium
Lineage: Bacteria
Description: partial 16S ribosomal RNA
Rfam family: Bacterial small subunit ribosomal RNA
Source: RNAcentral